CGUGUAGGCGGCCAUGCAAGUCGGAUGUGAAAGCCCUCGGCUCAACCGGGGAAGUGCACCCGAAACUGCAAGGCUAGAGUCUCGGAGAGGAUCGUGGAAUUCUCGGUGUAGAGGUGAAAUUCGUAGAUAUCGAGAGGAACACCGGUGGCGAAAGCGGCGAUCUGGACGAUGACUGACGCUGAGACGCGAAAGCGUGGGGAGCAAACA
This 207-nucleotide ribosomal RNA is filed under the name uncultured bacterium. Its description in RNAcentral is "partial 16S ribosomal RNA". It matches the Rfam family "Bacterial small subunit ribosomal RNA", at positions 568 to 774 of the family's 1533-position model. The record is from RNAcentral.